GCCUACGGGGGGCAGCAGUAGGGAAUCUUCCACAAUGGGCGAAAGCCUGAUGGAGCAACGCCGCGUGGGUGAAGAAGGUCUUCGGAUCGUAAAACCCUGUUGUUAGAGAAGAAAGUGCGUGAGAGUAACUGUUCACGUUUCGACGGUAUCUAACCAGAAAGCCACGGCUAACUACGUGCCAGCAGCCGCGGUAAUACGUAGGUGGCAAGCGUUAUCCGGAUUUAUUGGGCGUAAAGGGAACGCAGGCGGUCUUUUAAGUCUGAUGGGAAAGCCUUCGGCUUAACCGGUGUAGUGCAUUGGAAACU
Molecule: ribosomal RNA, 305 nt
Filed under: uncultured bacterium
Lineage: Bacteria
Description: bacterial SSU rRNA
Rfam family: Bacterial small subunit ribosomal RNA
Source: RNAcentral